CGCAGCCCUGUCAAAUUCGGUCCUUGCCUCCUCCGUGGCAGGGACUGGCCAACCGGCUGCUACAGCAACUUCUGUCGUCUGUGAGACCCUGCGUCCCCUUCCCGUGGGAUGCCCCGGGGGAUAAAAUCACACCACGGACAUCG
This 143-nucleotide small nucleolar RNA is filed under the name Apaloderma vittatum (bar-tailed trogon). RNAcentral's name for it is "Small nucleolar RNA SNORA5". It matches the Rfam family "Small nucleolar RNA SNORA5". From Rfam's summary of the family: ACA5 is a member of the H/ACA class of snoRNA that guide the sites of modification of uridines to pseudouridines. The record is from Rfam by way of RNAcentral. Lineage: Eukaryota; Metazoa; Chordata; Aves; Trogoniformes; Trogonidae.